AGGGACCCAUGCCUCUGCUAGUUUCCCUAGUAACCCACGAGGUCAAUUCUGGCUGGCAUAUAUUUAGGUAAUUGACACCUUCCCCCUCCCCACAAGAGAGAAGACUGUCCAGGCUCAGCGUCUGGCUGCACACAAUGGGGAGACGCUCCAGGACCUGGAGUCAGACAGGGUUAACAAGAAGAGAUUAUAGAAUAACAGUCAGCUUCUGUGAUGAUGUUUGCAAAGAACAUUUUGUUAGUGUGUGCUAAGUCGCUUCAGUCAUGUCUGACCCUUUAUGACCCUAU
Molecule: long non-coding RNA, 284 nt
Organism: Bubalus bubalis (water buffalo)
Lineage: Eukaryota; Metazoa; Chordata; Mammalia; Artiodactyla; Bovidae
Exons: 3
Source: RefSeq, a predicted model, not a curated record